CUGUAAAGUAUCAGCUUUAAUUUUACUCUGCUUAGCUUAAUGGUUAUAGCAGGCAUAACAAUGAUAGCCUGAUCACUUAGAUAUUUUCUUGCCUGAAAAAAUGUGUUUUUCAUUAAUUAUGCUGCAACCAAAUCAUCUUUUAAGGUUUACCUAACUUGUUUUUCAAGGUUGGAGAUCUCUUUCCAUGGACAGAGACUAAAAAAAGGCAGAAAAUGUUUCCUGUUCCCAAGUAGACAAGUAUGGAAAUAGAUUUCAUUACCUAGCAUCUCCAUGAUCAGCUUGGAGUCAGGAAGACCUAAGUUCAAAUACUGCCUUUGACACUUUCUAGCUGUGUCUCUCUGGGAAAGUCAUUUAUCCUGUUUGCCUUACUUUCCUCAUCUAUAACAUGAAGAGUUUGGACUUGAUCUAGAGAGCCUCUUCCAGUACUUAAUUUAUGUUACCUAAAUCAAAUUCAAUUCAAAAAUUGCUUUAGGGUUGUUAUGUUUUAGAUAAUGAUUUAUACUCUAUUAUGGCACUAUUGUCAGAAUCAAAAAAUACAUAACCUUAUUUGUGACAAAUCUCAUCCAUGUAAAACUCAAAUAUGUAUUUCAUCCUGAGAUAAAGAUUUUGUAUUUUAUUUAA
Long non-coding RNA from Antechinus flavipes (yellow-footed antechinus), 621 nucleotides. RefSeq lists it as uncharacterized. Lineage: Eukaryota; Metazoa; Chordata; Mammalia; Dasyuromorphia; Dasyuridae. The record is from RefSeq and is a predicted model, not a curated record. The transcript is spliced from 2 exons.